UGCAUGAAGCUGGAAUCGCUAGUAAUCGCGGAUCAGAAUGCCGCGGUGAAUACGUUCCCGGGUCUUGUACACACCGCCCGUCACACCAUGGGAGUUGGAAAUGCCCGAAGUCAGUGGCCCAACCGUAAGGAGGGAGCUGCCGAAGGCAGGUCCGGUAACCGGGGUGAAGUCGUAACAAGGUAGC
RNAcentral lists this ribosomal RNA (184 nucleotides) under uncultured bacterium. Its description in RNAcentral is "partial 16S ribosomal RNA". It matches the Rfam family "Bacterial small subunit ribosomal RNA", at positions 1317 to 1500 of the family's 1533-position model. The record is from RNAcentral.